Molecule: ribosomal RNA, 464 nt
Filed under: uncultured Desulfuromonadaceae bacterium
Lineage: Bacteria; Pseudomonadati; Thermodesulfobacteriota; Desulfuromonadia; Desulfuromonadales; Desulfuromonadaceae
Description: partial 16S ribosomal RNA
Rfam family: Bacterial small subunit ribosomal RNA
Source: RNAcentral
CCUACGGGAGGCAGCAGUGGGGAAUUUUGCGCAAUGGGGGCAACCCUGACGCAGCAACGCCGCGUGAGUGAUGAAGGCCUUCGGGUCGUAAAGCUCUGUCAGAGGGGAAGAAAUGCAGGUGGUGAACAACCAUUCUGUUUGACGGUACCCUCAAAGGAAGCACCGGCUAACUCCGUGCCAGCAGCCGCGGUAAUACGGAGGGUGCGAGCGUUGUUCGGAAUUAUUGGGCGUAAAGCGCGUGUAGGCGGUUUGUUAAGUCGGAUGUGAAAGCCCCGGGCUCAACCUGGGAAGUGCAUUGGAUACUGGCAGACUUGAGUACGGGAGAGGAGAGUGGAAUUCCCAGUGUAGGAGUGAAAUCCGUAGAUAUCGGGAGGAACACCGGUGGCGAAAGCGGCCAUCUGGUCUAUUCCUGACGCUGAGGAGCGAAAGCUAGGGGAGCAAACAGGAUUAGAUCCCCCGGUAGU